GCCUCCCAAAGGGAUGGGGUUAUAGGCAUGAACCACUGCGCCCGCCCUGAUGUAUUUGGUAAUAUAUUUUAUUUUGUUUUAAGGAGUGCCUUUUGGUGAGUGUGCCCAGGAGGAGGAUGGCUGUGAAGAUUGGCAAGUGCCUUCCCUGCUGUGCACCCAGCCCCUUGUCUGGCCUAGUCAGGCCCCAGCUGCAGGCCAAGCAAUUAUCCAUAGGCCAGACAGGCUGACAUCAUGCACCCACAGUGAUACUAGAAGUAAUAUCUCCUUAAAACAUUAUGAGUAACAUUUCUGAGUAUACACACGUGGUGGACAUCAGCUUUGAUGUUGAAGUAAUAUCUUUCUAAGAUACUAUAAUAUCAUAGGGUCUAAAACAUAAUGUACACUCAUUCUAAUAUUAGGUGUAAUAUCUCCUUAGAAUAUUAUGAAUAAUGUGUGCUGUACAAAACUGGUAUACACCAUACAGUAUUAUUGGUGUAAUAUCUCCCCAGGAUAUUACGAGUAAUAUCUCCCCAGGAUAUUAUGAAUAUAUCACAUAGUGUAUACCCACUGUAAUGUUAGGAGUAAUAUUUCUUUAGAAUGUUACAAAUAAUAUCACAGGAUGUAUACCAACCGGGAUAUUAAAAAUAUUGUCCUAGGAUAUUACAGAUAGUGCACAGGUUGUACAACCUUUGUGAUAUUUACUGUAGUAUCUUUCUAGAAUAUUACAAAGAAUAUUAAAGAAUGUAAACCCAC
Sapajus apella (tufted capuchin) is the source of this 732-nucleotide long non-coding RNA. RefSeq lists it as uncharacterized. The transcript has 2 exons. The record is from RefSeq and is a predicted model, not a curated record. NCBI's taxonomy places the organism in Eukaryota, Metazoa, Chordata, Mammalia, Primates, Cebidae.